Molecule: ribosomal RNA, 434 nt
Filed under: Bacillus amyloliquefaciens
Lineage: Bacteria; Bacillati; Bacillota; Bacilli; Caryophanales; Bacillaceae
Description: bacterial SSU rRNA
Rfam family: Bacterial small subunit ribosomal RNA
Source: RNAcentral
UGUUAGGGAAGAACAAGUGCCGUUCAAAUAGGGCGGCACCUUGACGGUACCUAACCAGAAAGCCACGGCUAACUACGUGCCAGCAGCCGCGGUAAUACGUAGGUGGCAAGCGUUUGUCCGGAAUUAUUCGGGCGUAAAGGGCUCGCAGGCGGUUUCUUAAGUCUGAUGUGAAAGCCCCCGGCUCAACCGGGGAGGGUCAUUGGAAACUGGGGAACUUGAGUGCAGAAGAGGAGAAAGGAAUUCCACGUGUAGCGGUGAAAUGCGUAGAGAUGUGGAGGAACACCAGUGGCGAAGGCGACUCUCUGGUCUGUAACUGACGCUGAGGAGGCGAAAAGGCGUGGGGAGCGAACAGGAUUAGAUACCCUGGUAGUCCACGCCGUAAACGAUGAGUGCUAAGUGUUAGGGGGUUUCCGCCCCUUAGUGCUGCAGCUAAC